This 38807-nucleotide long non-coding RNA is filed under the name Cucumis sativus (cucumber). Its description in RNAcentral is "long non-coding RNA (CSAT_LNC001018)". The record is from RNAcentral. Lineage: Eukaryota; Viridiplantae; Streptophyta; Magnoliopsida; Cucurbitales; Cucurbitaceae.
UUUUUUUUUUUUUUUUUGUAAUAUAUAGUUUAUAUAUUUUGGUAGAAAUUCUAAUAAAAGAAUCAUGUAUGACUAUAAUAACCAUCUUCAUGCCAUCCUCAAAAGUUAACAUUUUUUCGGUCAUAACAUUACGUUCACACCUAUAUAUGUAUAUAGUUGGAUUUACAUCAUCUCUACUUAUUUCACAUCUUCAACAAAACCAUUCAUCUAUAUUAUCUUCAUGUACAUCAACUUCUUCCAUUUCAACCAUAUCCCAUAAAUUUCUAUGUUGAAUUCUUUGAACUAUUUUCCAACCAUUACCUAACAAAAUAUCAUCAACAUAAAACACAUUGUGCUUGCGAGGCAAGAAUGAAGGGUUUAUUUUGAUACCAAAAGUCGUAUCAAGUAUCUAUGCUUGUAAAAUGAUUGUCUUCGCAAAUUUGAUUUCUUCUUGAAUUUGUUUCAUACCAAUCACAUCCAAAUAGAACUAACUUGUUUUCUAUCAACAUACUUCAAUUAAUUCACUUCCCUUAAAAUACCAUAAAAAUUGACCCUUCAUGAUCAUGUCCUCCAAAAACACAAACUCCACUAUUUUGAGUUUGAGUUGUACAAUAGUCAUAUCGAUCCUUUGAAUUAUUGAAUUGAAUACCACUGUAGAUACAACCACCAUGUGAACUAAAUCAAAUAUUAAGGCCACAUGAAAGUGCACACAACUCAUGCACAUUUUCAUUGGUUGCUGGCUAAAUUUUUUAUUGCUUCUAAAGUACAUUAGCAACUCACAAUAAUCAAUAAACAAUUAUGAUAAUGGAUCUAACAUAGAAAGUAUACUCCAUUUUCAUACGAACUUACUUUAAUUUUUAACCAUUCUGAAAUUUUGCUUCAUGUUUUUCGUGAAUGUACAUAUUUGCUUCAUUUCUAUUUCGUGGUUCAAUCAUGAAUUUCAUGUUAAUGACCAAUUUUCAUGAGAAAACUUUCAUUAAUGGAAAUAAUUUGACACCUUCUAUAUGGAUCCACUGCAUCACAAUUUGUUAGCACAUACCAAUGAAGUAUUGUAGUUGGUCACGUGAUAUCUCUUACAUUCAUGAACCACCGUUUGGAUGUGCUUUUUGUAAAAGUAUAGUUAUAUGUUUAUUGUUUUUUUGAGGUACUAAGGUCUAAUAUUAUCAUCAUUUUCAAUUCAUCCAUUGGAUUUUGUUUUUGGUUUAAUUUCAUACAGAAGGCUUCAUUUGCUGUGUAACACUUUUGUUUUUUUUAACAUUCAAGAUGAGCUAUAUUUCUAACAUGUUCAUUUAAAUACUAUAGAUAUUAGGUUAUUUGACAUUCCUUCAAUGUCAAGUAAUAAAAAAAACGUUAAGUAUUCGACUGUCAAGUAUACUUUAAUCAUUUGACACCAAAAAAACAUCAAAUUAUAUAUUUUUCUGACAUAUUUUCAAUGUCAAGUAAGAAUUUAUACUUUACUUUUUUUGACACGUCAAGUAAGAUAGUAUACUUGCCUCUUUUUACAUGUCAAGUGUCAUAUAAUAUACUUUUGACUUGUUUUACAUGUUACGCGUAACAUGGCAUACUUUACUCUUUUUACAUGUCAGAUUGGUGGAUUCUUGACGUUGGUUUUAGUUAUAUUUGCUUACUCUUUACAUUUUAUUUACGUCAAAUAUAUGAUUAUUUGACAUGAAAGAAUGAUCAUGUUAUUUAAAUCUUAGCAUGCUUUUAGCAUCAUAUUAUAUAUAAAUACCUUUUAGUUAACAUUUUAAAUAUAUUGAAUUUCCAUUUCUCAUUUCCUGCAUUACAUUCAUUUCAAUAAGAUAGAUUCAUUUCAAUACGUACACUGUAAGAAUUUUGAAGCUAUCUCGACGUGAAAAAACGUGUCGACAAAAAUCAAGUUGGAAAAAAAACGUCCCCCUGCCGCAAAUUACACGUCGAUCGAGACGACUUCGUCCUGACAUCAUGAUUUCAUGCAUUGGAAAAAGAGAAAUUAAUAUUUAAAUCUUACAUUUUUUACAACGUCAUACACACUAACAUCGAAAAUGGGGUCCCCAUUUUCGACGUCACCUUGUCCACGUCGGAAAAAAGAGAAAUUAAUAUUUAUUUCUUUACAUUUUCCCCGUCGCGAAGCACACAAAUGUAAAAAAUGUGUUUCUCAUUUUCAACUCCAAUGUUAACCACAUCGGAGAAAAGCAAACAAUCAAAUAAUUAUUUCCUUUUCCCCGACGCCAUGUAGGCAACUUCUGGGGAGGUGAUACCUAUUUUCAACGUUUCACUUAUGAUGUCGAGAAUAUGUAUCACCUCCUCUGACACCAACGUUUGUAACGUCAGGAAAUGGAGGUCUUCCGACGUUUUCAUUGUGCGUCGAGAGUUUUCCAAUAAAAAGGGGUUUUCAUUUUUGUAAUUCAGAGAAACGAAAGAGAGAAGAGAAGCCGAGAGAGUUGAGAGAGAGACCCAAAAGGAGAGAACCCACAUCGUCGCUCACUGUCGUCCAUGUCCGAUCAUUCAUCGUCCUUUCACUACCACUACAUUUCAUUCCGGUAAGUUAUUUAGUUUGUUAUUGUUUUUGUUUUUGUUUUUAUUUUGGUUUUGUUAAUUAGUCUUAGCAUUUAUAAUUGAAUUUGAUUUAAUUUUAGUUAAUUAAUUAGUUUUGGGUUUUAGUAUUGAAUUUGAAUUUGAAUUUGAAGUGGUUUUAGGAUUUAAGAUUGACGUUGAGAUUAAGAUUUAAUUUGAAUAUGAAUUCCAAUUUGAAUGUUUUAAAGUUCGUAGGGAUUGAAUUUGGGGAAGGGGUUAUAUUGAAUUUGAGAUUGAGAUUUAAUUUCAAUUUGAAUUUGAAAAUUUGUGGGGUUAUAUUGAGGGGGGGAGGGCUUUAUUAAAAAAGAUGUUAAGAUUUAUUCGGGCCAUAUCUUGCUGUUAUGGUAGCUUUUAGUUCAAACUUAGUUUUUUAUUUGUCAUGACAUUUUGUUGGUUGGAAAUGUUAGUGCUCACACGAAAUUUCUGGAAAAAUUUGAUUCGUGGUGUUGAACUUGAGUUGAUGUAUUUUUUGUUGAUUUGAUGCAAUGUGGUUCGAUCUCUAGAAUUUGAUUCUCUGAUUCUCUCUCAAUUGAAUGCUUACUCCUUAUUUGAGAAAGCAGAGCACGUAAUGUUCUUGGAGUUGGAUAGAAGUUAGGAGUCUUCUAGCUCUUGUGAGAAUUCUUUCUAGACUUUAUGGAGUAAAAAACUUCUAACCUUUACAAAUAAGGAGAACUCCUCUAUUUAUAGAGUUAUCUGGUGGGCUUUGUGGGCUUAAGUCUGGUUGGUCCAUGAACCAGAUCCAUGAGCUCAACCAUAUGAAUUUGGGUCAUAUUUACCAUUUGGACUCAAUUAAGUUUAUUUUUGGACUCAAUUGAACUAAAAUAAUUAAUGUGAUCCAACGGUUAUGAUGAAAACAUGUGGCAUUAUCAGAAUUGACCAAUUUAUGUUUUCAAUUUGAAUUUGGGACACAUAUCAUUAGUUCCAAAUUCAAUUAUCUGCACUUUUCACCAUUAAUUUAAUAAAUUAUGUGACAAUUUGUGAUUGGUCUCAAAAUUUUGUAUUCAACAAAUGCCCCCUUUUCGAAAGAAGUCUGCACUCAUUAAAACAGUUUGUUUGGAACAAAGCACAUCAUGAGGGGUCUAUUGUAGAAGCAUAUAUGAUGAAUGAAUCAUAGACUUUUUGUUCGAGGUAUCUAAAUGGGAUUGAGACUCAAUUCACUAGAGAUGAACAAAAUGAUGAUAGCAUUCCAGAGGACAAGGCAAUUGGUGAGUUCGAAGUGUUCGUUCAGAGAGUAUGACCAUUAGAAGCGUCAAGUUUACGAACCAUAUAACAGGAAGAGAAACAUCUUUUUCAUUGAAACAACCUCAUUAAUGUAGAUGUAGUGGACUACUGGAAGUAUGCAUUUCAAACUUUAUACUCCAUUCGCUAUCUUACGUCUUUGUUAUUGUCACACAAACUCACAAUUAUGUACUUAAGAAAUACUUAAGGCUGAUACGUCGUCAGGGUCAAAGCGUUUCUGACUUAUUUAAAAGAUAUCAACAAGUAUUUCAUGGUUGGUUCAGAGCUCAGAUUUAUAGAGUAUGAAUUCAAGAAUUGGUAUAUGCUUAUUUCAUUAUUUAUAUAUAUUCAUUUACAUCAAUCUCAGGUUCUAGAAAUGUGUGAGAGAGAAAACCUUUCUCAUGAUUUCUUCUCACUCGCAAUGUGACAUUCACUUGAGGUUUGCUCUUACAUAGAAUGCAUUGUCGGUAGGGUACGAUUUCAUAUGGUGAAGUGUGAUUUCUGAUGCACUACACAGAACAGUGGAGUCAUGGUAGUCGGUGAAAAAAGUAACGGUGGAAGUGCCAACAAAAGUUUCUAUGGUGUUUUAGAUGAAGUGUUGCACGUUCAAUAUCCAAUGAGACGAUGUGCUUGACUAUUCAAAUGUAGAUGGUUUGACACAGACAAAAACAAAAACCAUAGAACACAAGUGGAAUUAGGCUAACAAAUCAAUCAACAUGUCCCUUUUUUUGUUCGUUGAGGAACUUGUGAUUCUUGUGAUGCAAGCACAUCAAGUAAUUUACCUCGAGGAUCCAAAAAAUGGUACCAAUUGAAAAGUUGUUCAAUUGGUCCAAAAUAAACGUAUUGGAACGUGCCUGAAGUGAAAGAUAUUGAGGAUGUACAACUUAAUGUAUUGGAAAUCGUUAUCAGAUAUCAUGUGGAUAAAUAUAUUGAGGAUGACACUUUAUGCAGGCCUGAAGAUGAUCCUACAGUGGUGGAAAGACCGGAUGUGCGUCAUGUCCCUAACAACUUCAUAGAUGAUAAUGGUGAACAAUUAUCACCUCAAAGUGGAUCAAGCGACGAUGAAUAAUAAUGUCUUCUUCACAUAUCCACAUUAGUCCUUCUUCUAUAUAUUUAGUUUGAGAUACUCACAUUUGUUUAACGUUUGUUGGUUUUUAUGUGCACAUGUACUUUGUCAUUUCCUAGCGAUUUCCAGGAGGCAGAUAUGUAGCUGGAGUUGGACGACGUGUUCAAUAAUGCAAGAGGAUCAUCUUUAGACGACACUUCAGGUUAGUCCCGUUACAUAAACACUUGAAUCGGUAAUUACGUUUUGGUUUCUGAUAUUGCUAUGUUUUUGUAGAUGGCCCUCAACCCACUCCUACUCCAGGAGAUGUCAUAACUCUCAAAACUUGGAGUUGGAUAGAUAUGUACAGCAGAAUGUGAAGAUCCCAAUAUCAAUCGAUCUAGGAGGGGACAAAUUUGUCUCAUCACAUUCCGUUCGGAUCAACAACACCAUCAAUGUGUUAACGAGAGACAUAUUUUCAAUCCAAGCCCUCAAAUGGGUUGAUGUACCUCUAGAGUACAUCGAGGUCGCCAAGGGGGGCCUACAUGUAAGUUUGUAAAUUACCUUUAUAUAUAUGUUAACCUACAUAUGUAGAAAACUAAUUUUUAUGUAUCUUUCUUUUGUAGCGAUGAUUCAUGCUUCAUUUCGUUGAUCAAGCACUUAUUUGAUUUCUUGAGCAUCAAAUGCUCAACACGUGAAAAAAGUUCAAGGAAGACAAUCAUAAGCAUUCAAGCAGUUUAGCGACCUUGAAGAAGCGCGUGCCGACCCAUCGCUGAGAUUAGUGAAUCGUGUGGAAAAUUGAUAAUUUCUCUAUGAUCAUUACAUGACUCGACAAUUUCAGGUGAUUUAUAUCUUCUUCUUUUACUUCACAACACUUCAUUUUUGUUGUUUGGAUGAAACAUUGUGAUUGUGUGCAUGUAGGAGCAAUCAAGGAUCAACAAGGCUGCUAGAGCGAAGCAACCUUACAACAAUAAAAGCAGACCCAACUCGUUCCUACAAUGAUAACACAAGCUCGUUGAACAACGUGGUCGCCUAGUGGACCAUGUGGAGUUGUUUAAAGAAACACACGCCAGUAGGAAUAGCGAGUUGGUUUCAUAGGAGGCAGUGGAUGCGCAUGUAAGUUUAUGAAAAAUAUUUCUUGUAUUUUCUACUUUUAGUUCUCAGCUCACAAGUUAAAAUGUUGAAACUCCAGUCCCAACCCACACCAAAAGGUUCUCAACAACUCUCUGGAGAUGAGUUAUGUGAGAUCAUUUUGGGUAGACGAUCAGGCUACUCAAAAGGUCUUGGUUGGGGCCCCAAGCCGAAGUCUCGAAAGAGUAUUGCUACCAGUUCUUUGUCUUCAUAUGAGCAAAAGAUGCACUCUAGAGAGGUUAGCAAACUAAGAGAUGGCCUUGAAAACGCUAACCGCUUAAUUGGAGAACAACGGAUAAGGUCGUAGUUACAAGAUAAACAAAUGAAAGAAAAUGCACGACAAAUGGAAGAGAUGAUGAAAAUGAUUUAGAAAAUGAGUCGGACACAUAGAGAACCGUGAACACUUAGGGUACAUAUUUUUCAACUUUUAAUUUGUUUAAUUUCUUAUCGGUGAUAUAUAUCUAACUUUACUUUUAUGUAAUUUGUAGGUUUGGAAUUCUUUGAAUUUGGCAUCUCUAGCAAGAAUUAAGAGAUGAUGUAGUUUUUUUCCUUUUCAUGAAUUGUUUUGAACAUUUUAAACAACUUGUAAUUUUUGUUAUACAUUCAAAUUUAGUAUUUAAUUUUAUAAAUUGCAAAUUUUUUUUAAAUAAUUUGUUUAAAAUUUUGUUUGUUGUCUUUUAAAUCGUAAACUAAAACAAUACAUCACAAUAACAAAAGGAAAAAAAGAAAACAAUUUAAAUAAAAUAAUUAAAAAAUUAUAUAAAAAUUCUCCCAACGUUACUUAUACAUCAGAAGUAAUGGGUCCUCAACAUCAUUGAAUUUUCGUCAGGGAAAACUUCUCCCGACGUGGCACUGGGAGACAGGUAUGUCUGACGCAUGAAGGAGACGUCGGACGGAUGCCACUGCCGACGUCAGCCACCCAUCAGCGUUGACGGUGUCGGGAUAUGACAAUCUCGAUGUUGUCUCGUUCGAGCGUCAAAAAAUUUCUCCUCCAACGUAAUGUGCUCGAUGUUUUUCCCGAUGGAGCGUCUCACAUCGGAAGAGGUUGUUCCAACGCGUUUUUGUACAAAUGUUGACUCUUUAUAGCUACAGAAAUAUUCCAAAUCCUUGUAGUGAUAAUAAGUCAUAUAUGAACAAAAUCCAACAUUCAAGAAACACAUAUUAACUAAUUCACUCUAGCAACACAACAAAUAAAAGGAUAAAUAGUUUAAUAUAAUAAGUAACUAACAGUAACUCCAUUAUUUGACAAUAUGUCAUAAAUAGUUGCACAAUAUCAACCUGAUAUUCCAACUGAGCUUUAAAAUAUGUGGCCUAUUCCAAAUUUUACAAUUAUCUUUUAUGAACCCCUACCCACACUACAAGAAAUUGGGGGUCUGCCAACGUCGUCAAACAUUAGCAUAUAUACCCAAAUACGUCGAGAAAGGAUCUUUCGACGUACAUAACAUCGUUAGAAAGUAAUUCGAAUGUAGUGCGUUGGGGGAGGAAUUCCCGACGUGCAAACAAGAAGGCAUUGGGAAUGUCUUACUCUGACGCUGGAAAUGCCAACGGAUGGAGCACGUCGACAAUAGGUAACUUUCGACGUCCCAUCUCUACGUUGGGAGAAAUAUACUCCCAAUGCAGCAUUGGGGAUGGUUGCUCCGACGCGUUGCUUACGAUGUCAAGGAAAGGGCAUCAUUUCUGAUGCCUUCAAUGCAUCGAGAGAUAAGUUUAAUAUAUUUUUUUCUUCCAAUUUUUAUGUUUUUUUUUUAUCUUGAGGUAGUUUUUUUAGUUUUGAUUCUUUUUCUUCCACUUCUUUAUGAUUUAUAACUUACCCAUAUUAUUAAUUUCUUCAUAUUAUUAGUCUCCUUAUUCAUAUUUCCACUUCUUGUUUGCAAUUUCUUCAUUUCCUCUUCUAGAACUUCUUCUUUCUUCUUCAUCUCUCAUCUUCUUUUUUUCUUUUUGGUACAAGAUUUAAACGAUAUUGGUACAGAGUUUAAACCAUCGUGUACCAAUAUCUAAACGAUCAGUUGUUUGUCCCAGAUAAACAUAUAUAGAUCUUUAUCACUAAUAGAUUGUUUAAUUUUGAUACAAGAUCGUUUAGACUAGGUACAAGGAUACAAUACCGUUUAGGUUGGGUACAAGUGUACAAGAUCGUUUAGAUUGGAUACAAAAGUACAAAAUCGUUUAGGCUAGGUACAAAGAUACAAGAUCGUAGCUUUUUUCUUUUUCGAAAUUGUUCUAUAGGAUGUAAAUAUUUUCGCACUUUGUUGUACUUUUGCAAAAACAAAAACAAAAUAUUUUUUAGAAGAUAUUAAUUGGUAUUUAUGUAAGGAAAAGUUGUUAAGAAUACAAAAUAAACAAAAUACUUAUAAUUUAUAGAAAAAUCAAGUGAAAUUUUGUCGUUCACUAAAUUUUUAAAGAAAAUUAUAAAUAGUUUUUUUGUUGGUUAGUUUUCACAAAUAUAACAAACUAACAAAAUAUUUACAGUCCGUCUAACAAAUUGAAAAGGUUCAUUAAGCUCGUUUGUCCUUCCUUUUUCUUAGUCUUUCUUAUGCUAUUUUUUUCUUUUCAUCGUUUUUUUCCCAUUUUUCUUUUAUUUUUUUCAAAUGGUUAUUUGAUUCAAGAUCUUGUACAAAAUAUAAAAGAUCUACUUUUUUUUUUUAAAAAAAAAAUGUAUUUGGUCGUGUGACAAAUAUAAAAGAGGUGAAAAAAUCGUUGGAAUAUUGAAUAGUCAAAUUUAAACUAUAGUCUAAAAAAAUAGCCAAGAUUUGGCUAUCCAAAUUUAAGCAACCGAAUACCAAAUCUAAAGAUCGUGGAACAAAUAAUCUUGAAAAAAUGUUUUUGAACAAUCAUUUACCAAUAUAUUAGUUCUGCUAGCUUUCUAUUAUCAUUUUUUUGUAUUUCGCAUUGUAGGCGUGUAGAGCGUGAACCUUUUUUUCAAAAUUAUUGUAUACAUUGUAAAUAUGUUGACCGUUUUUUAAAAGAUGCAUUUUAUUUGUUUUACUAUUUUCGAAAAAACUUGUUAGGUAAAAUGUGGGGAAUGAAAAAGAAUGAGAGCAUAAAAAAGAAAGAAAGAAAUGAAUUAAGAAGAUUUACCAAUUAAUGUCAAAAGUGGGACCCAGUUGUGGUGAAGUAAGAAGAACGUUAGAAAAGUGAAAUGGAAAGCACACAAUCUUUUCCCUUCUCUCUCUUUUACACCUUACCCAAAUUUCAGACCGUUGCGAAACCAAAUUCCCUUUUUCUUUUCAAACCUCACAAAAACACAAAGCACACUCAUUAUCUCUUCUUCUUCUUCUUCACCUCAUUCAAUCAAAACCACAAACCUUCCUCACCCUUCAACAAUGGCCCACAAAUUCCCCCAUCUCCCCUUCCACUCCAUCGACUCCAGAUCCCUCCUCCUCCACCAGAACUCCGCCGCCGACCACCCCAUCUCUCUCCACCUCACACCUGAGCCUUUUUCCAUGGAAAGAGGCCCAAGGUACAGAGCCUACGCAGAGCUCAGAGAAUCCAAGCUCCGCUUGAGAAACGCCAUGUAUCGCCACGAUGAACACCCGGAGAAGUCCACCCCGCCGCCCAAGAAGCAAGUUAAAUUUCUGGGUUCGGAGACUGUAAGGAAAAGGUCCGCUACGGUGGCGCAAUCGGUGCCGGAUUUCUCUGCAGUGCUAAGAAAGGAGAAUAGAAAGCCGCCGCCGGGGAUGUUGUCGCCAGUGAUGGAGAUGACGCCCCCGGGGAAGACGUGGGGGAAGAAUAUUGGGGGAUUGUCGACGACUUCGAGGGGGAGUAAGUCCGCGAGUGCAGGGGAGAAAAGGGGCGGCGGAUUGACGGCGGUGAGGAAAAGCUACGCCGGAUUUGAGGAGCUGAAGGGGUUUUCUACGGCGGCGGCGAACGCCAUUAAUGGUGAAAAUAGGAAAGGAGGGAGGAGAGGGAAGACUGUAUUGGGGGUUAGACAAAUCUGAAUGAAAAUAAGAAACAAAUUAUUGUAUUUUCUCGAUGGAAGAAGAUUGCUCUGUUUAUGUGUUACAAUGUUUUUUAAUUUUUGUUGGUUUUGGUGUUGUUUUUCUAGGAUACUUUUGAUUCUUUUAUUAUAUAAUGGAUAAUUUGAGUUUGUGGAAUAAUGAAGUGAGAAGUAAAAGAAAAAUGUUGUUAUUUGUUCAUCUUUGUGUUCAUUGAUUAUACAAGCUUCUUCUAAGUAGAGUUUCAAAUCUAAUCAUUAUCUUUUUCCUUUUAAUACGAAUUUAGUUACCCAUAUUUAAAGAAUCUUAUUCAUUAUUAUUACUGUUCUUUUGUUUCUAAAGUAUUAAUGUGUAUUGAUUUCAUAAGUUUUUUAGUAUAUUUGAAAUCUAAUCAUCAAAAUCAUUGCAUGCAGUGUUGCUGACAGUAAAUUGUAGGGUUUGGGAGGAUUUCUUUUAGCGAUUCUUUAUUUUGAUCCUAAAACCUUGAGCAUUUAAUUUUAAUUCCUAUUAGUCCAUGUUUUAUCUUAAUCCAAUACCUCAUAAGAGAUUAGUCUUUAAUCAAUAAUAAAUCAUCUAAAUGGAAACUCUUAAAAUCUGCUAGUGAGCUAAAUACAAGGAUUUGAUCCUCAGAAUUAUGCUCAGUUGGAUUGUUUAACCCAUAACAAAAGUAAAUGAAUAAAAGAAGCAGAUUAUAAAGGUGAAUGAACUCCAAGUUUAGGAAAAUGAGGUAAAUGUUAAACUUACAAAUGCAAGUAAAAUACUCUUGAAAAUUAGAUCACAGAUCAGAGAGUUUUGAGCAGUAAAGCCAGCUUCCAUAAUUAUGCUUCAACUAGCAAUGAGAGCCACAAAUUCACAUCUACAAAUUACAUUUAACCUUCAUUUGUACAAAAAAAAAUUGCACGCAAAAGAUAUAAUCCACAAUACCAUGACAGUCAAAAUCAUCCCUUCCUGAAGUCCCACAGCUCUGUUACAAUUUCCUCAACUAACAUUUGAAGUAUGUACCCAUCAAUUUCAGCCCCACUCUCCAAUUCUUCAAUGCUAAAAUCACUCCAUUUCCCCAAGGAGUGGCUCAUUUCCCAUUCUACUAUCUCAUCCGUCAUCAUCCCAACAAAAUAUACCCAUUUCUUGAUCUCCUUCUCGACGUCUCGAAUAAACGCUCUUGCAUUUUGUGUUGGCGAUGUUCUUAUCCAAGCAUUUGAUCCACCAUAGUAUAGUUGGCUAUGUUUCAAGUCUAAGCAUUCUAUCAGACAGUCGAAAAGAAAUCCUCUUAGAUGGUUUACCUCCUUGACAUCCUCCAAACUGCGGAUGCUGCUAGAGUUUGUCCACAUUUCACACGUGAAUGUUUCCAGUUCAUCAAUGAAAAGUGGGAAAAUGAGAAGGUUAUUUUCAUCCCUGCCAAAUAAAAUUUCGGUAUUGAGCAUAACGUCUUUUGCACGAGCAAGCUUACUCCCAGUCAGUUUUGUGCCAGUAAGGUUGUUGCUUUGCAGUAUGCUAGAAAUAGCAGUAAAGACUUCGGUCAAUCUUUCAUUCCCAACAUUCCCUUCGCUCAAGGAGGUUGCGGAAUCUAAAAGAUCGGUAUCAGGUUCAGACAGCUGUGGUUGAUCAAAUGAGCAAUCAACAGACUCAGCUGGCAUUCUGCAUCCUGUGACGAUAAGAAAAGACAUUUAGCCUAAUUAUUCUCACAUGGAGGAAUUUUGAAAGAAUAGAGGAGAUUGAGCCUUUUGGAUAAAUUAUAAGUUCACUCUUUUGUAUUUCGUAUUGUUAGGUAUACUAAACAUCUAACCUGAGCUCUCAUCCAUGCUGCUGGACGAGAACGAAGCUUCAAGAACAGAACCGGGGCUAAGUUGAUCUUGUCCUUUUAAUAUGUUUGUGAUCCUUUCUUCCUUCAAAUCAUCCUGGAAAGACAGGAGUGGAAUCAAUAUCGAUUAAAAGUAAACUACCUUUAAGUUUCGAUUAGAAAAUAAGAGAAACUAACAAAAUAAUAACAAAAAAUAUGAACUAAGCCAAAACUUGACAUACAUGUUUACGUUUAUCGAAUUUAAUGAAAAACCAGAAGAAAUGUAUGGUUUACAGUCCAUGAAGGAAAAGACUAAAUUGGACUUUCAAAUACUCCUAGGACAAGAGAACUAUUCUUGAAAUAAACUUGAAAACAUGUAAUUCAGAAGAAUAUUGCAUAAUUCAUGUAUCCUUCAGGAAGGUCACUUCAUGCUUUAAAAAAAUCGAUGAUAUAUUAUCUAAGGAAGCUCGCAUAGUCAAUUAGGCAAGCAAACAAACCAUGGAAUCAAAUUUACAAGAACAUAUUUGGUGCGGACAGAAAUGAAAAUGCAGCUUUAGAGAAAAUAACUGGCAACGGGUAUUUAAUUAGGGAUCUGCUUUAGGUCAUUUUCAGGUAUAAGAAAACCCAAUUCAAUUAAUUAUUAAUUAUUCACCAGGUUAACUGAGAAUUAAACAUAUAAUAUUUGACAACCAACUUUCAUCAAGUACUAGAUAUUCCAACUUUUUCAAAUCUAAGAGGACCCAUUUUCUCAGUCCACAAGUGGGGUUACGAGGAUUCAAACCUCCAGCUCCAACUGUUGGAUUUUUUGGUAAAAUUAUUAAGAAAUUCUUGAAAUUGUCCUACAUUGAAAAGGUUUAGGAAAGUCAUGGGCUUGUCCUACACUAAAAAGGUUUAGAAAAGUCAUAGAGUCAUAGACUAUUAAAGGAGUCUAUGUCUCUGUUUUUUAAUUGUCUCAGUUAAAAACACUUUAAGUUUUAGUAUGCUAACUCUAAUUAAAUUUCUUUUGUAUUCUCUAGUUGAAGAGUGGGUAAAAGAUGUGAGUGGUCAAAAGCUUGGAAAGUGUUCUUGUAAUUGGGAUCAGGAGAGAAAAUUAUUCUUUGUGAUUGUAGCAAAUUUUUCAUAUAGUAAAUUUCUUUCUUGUCUGUGGUUUUUCUCUAAGUUGGGGGAGUUCUCCACGUAAAUUCUUGUGUUUCCAGUUUUUUUAUUGUUUUCUCUUAAUUUCUCUAUUAUUUAUCUGCUUAUUUCCUACAGCAAAAGUGGGAGAUUUUUCCCAACACAAGUGAAGUUACGUGCAGGUUGGCAAAUUUAAGAGAACCUUGAUACCCGUAACGCACAACAUAGAGGAACUAUGCACGGCUGAAGUAGAUUGCCACUUAGUUCCUCUUUUUUUUCCUUUUUAAGAAACAACUUUUAUUAAGAACAAAGAAUACAAAAGCAUAACAGAACUCAACUAUUUGUUAGAGGAAACUAAAAAACUGGAAAAGUCCAAACAGCUUUUAAACAACUGAGGUAGACUGCCACUAAAUUAUUUGAUAAAGGGCAUUCAGUCCUAAUAGCUAUUUGCUUUUCUUUCUUUUUGAGAAAAAAAAGUCGGGAGAUUUUUAUCAUAAAUUUUUCAUACAAUAAUUUUCCACAACUGAUGCGAUUAGGCAAUGCAUUAUAUAUAGGAAACAAUCACAGUAUAAAAAUGAUGGAGUUGCAAAAUGGAAAAAGAGGAGGAAAAGUAAAUAGAACUAUCAACAGAAAUGAUUCUUACAUAGUGAGUUACAUCCAUGUUGACUGUGGAACCCUCCGAAGCAACUUUCCGAGCAGCUGCUACGGCAGCUAUCAGUUCUUGAAUGAUUACCGAAGCAGGUUUCUUCAAUGGAGAACCCGAUGAUGACCGAUCAUCUCCCUGAGAAGUUAAUUCCUUUAAUUUUUGCUCCAGGAUAUCUAAAGCAUCUCCUCCAAACAAGGAUGGGUUUUGGGAAGACACAUUUCUCUCAUUUGACAAGCUCUCCUCGUUCAUCUUUACUGCAACUGUGGUUUCUUGUCUAACGGGAGAAUUAAAGAUGAAAGAAACAAUGUCUUUAUCCCUUUUGCAAACUCUAUCAGUAGCAUCUCUACAACCAGCUAAUCUAUUACCAGCCCAAGGCUGCUUUGUGGGGAGAGGUUUGCAUUCAACCCUUGAACUUGUUCUAGACAAUUUAUCGCGCGGAUGGGAUCGUUGUUUUAAAGCAGGUGAAUCAAAAGAAGUUUUUCUAUCAUUUUUUCCACUCUCAUGAGCAGUCCUCCUUUUCCUUGGUGAGGUACCUGAUUGUGAUGAAAAAUCUUCAAAUCCAUUAAAAGACUUUCUUUCUAGGCCAAACUUAGAAUUUUCAACUUUAGCAGGCAGCUUCCCUCUGCUGCAGCCAUUGAGACUUCGAUUCAAGGCAACAAAGUUCUUGGUCCGACCCACAGCAUUUUCCGGCGAUGUGGUUCUUCUGCUUGAUGUAAUACUUGCCUUUGAUUUCGAUGGCAUCCUAUCUCUGACUGAUGUCAUAUGAUCUUCAGAUUGACUGCAAUGCUUGACAAUGGAUGAUUGACUUGUCCUAAGAUUGAAUUGUUGGCUGGACGGUCUGGAAGUUGGACAUACAGAUUCAUUGUUCAGAUGCAUUCUUUCUGCAAUAGAAUCAACAUGAGAUAUUAAACAACCCCUAGAUUCAUUCUGUUUGUUCAGAGGCAUUCUUUCUGCAAUGGAAUUGACAGGGGAUAUUAUAGAGCCCUUAGAUUCAUUCUUUCUGGAAGCAACAGUUUUAGGAAGAUCACAGUUUGUUUGGAGGAUUUCUUCUCUUUCUUGCUGGAUGGAUGAUUCAGGGGUUAUUGUUUUACUCCAUCCUGAACCCUUUAAAGAUGAAUUGCCAUAAGUUGAAUUGACGGGUGAAAUUGCAGAUACAUAUUCUUCAACAUCGUGAUUGGGGACCUCAACUUUCAGUAAAUUGUUGCAAUUUUUACAAGAUGCCUGUCCCAUGGACUUUGACAAAUCAUAACCUUCCCCUGGUAUAACUCUGAUUUCCCUCGAUAGAACAUCAUUGGGAGAAUAAUUCAUAGACUUUGGAAGUGUGAUUGCAGAUUUAGCUCUAUUUGAAAUCUGCAGACUAGGCUCCAAUAUUUUGCUAGCAACAUCAAUCAAUCGGGAUGUUCUAGACACAUUCCUCCCCGAGGGAAGCCUUGGACUUUUUGUUGAAGGAAGUUUUGGAGGAGAAGGAGGCUUCCUUGAUCGUGACAUAACACUCUUAUACUGUAGUACCUCAGCCCCUAUUCGUCUCAUCAUCUUUCCUUCCUCCGUUCCCGUUUUUUGAAGCUUUAGAGGUCUUGCUUCAAUUUUUACACUUGCUUUUUCAAAAUUCAUAUCCUCUACUAUUUUUUUUUCCAUGUUAUCACAAGGAUUAGAAAAACCAGUUUUCUUCGACUUAUCUCGAGUUAUAACAGGCAUGGCCUCAAGUCCCAUGAGUCUUGCAACCAGUCCUGGAACUCGCAUUUCAUUUCUGUGCCCUACGUCUGUACAUUGAUUUCCAUUCUUCUUCACGUUUGGGAAACCGCCUCUAUUUUCAUCAGCAAUCUAUUUCUCAAAGAAUGGCACAACGUCAGUAAAAGAACAAGAAUAUAAGCCCAAGAAGAAAUCAAACUAAGCGGAAAAAAGAGACAACUAGGAAAACAAGUGAAUACCAAAUGAUUUUUUGAAGCCGGCAUCUUUUCACCUCCUUUGAACUUCUUAGUUACUUGUUGUGUACGACCUAAUGAAACAUAACAGAACCAGAUUUAAACUUCGAAUUAUAUUGCAGAUGAGCAAAAUUUUAGCCAAGCAUUUACUUUAAGGAAUGAAUGAAAGGAAAAACAGUAGAAUAAAACAUUGCCCAACCUGGAGGAAGCAACUUCCUGGAGAAAAGCUUCUUCUUAGCCAAUCUCCGGUUCCAAUCAAAGAGCUGGAAGAAAAUGCCCACACAACCACCAGACUUAUGGGUCUUCUUCUCUGAAAUAGCUAAACAAGACGAUGUUCUACUUGUAUUUUCCAUCAAUCUCUAACAAAAACCCCCCCAAAACACUCCAACAGAGUUAGACCCUUAACUUGCAACUCGAUGCUCUUCAGUCUACCAAAAACCCCUCUUCAACCCCAAAAACCCCCUACCCCAGUUAUUCCCAAAAGGUUCUUCUCCAUUGUUCAUACAAAUCCCAAAAACACACUCUGAAUCUUCAAACUCUCCCCCAUUUUCUCGAUAACCCACCAAGAGAUUAGAAUCAUCCCCCAUCAAAAGAACCAAAAAGGUGGUGGAAAAAAACAGAAAGACCGUCUAAAAAUAGGCUGCAAUGCUCAAUAAAACAGGUUCCCAGAAAGAAUACCAAACAACCAACAAAUGCAAGAAUAUCACGAAAGCCAAAAAAAAAAAGUCUAAAGAAAAAUAGAAACCAGUACAAUAAUGGAGAAAAGGGACCUGCAAACAAAAAAACAAAAAAACCCAGAAAGGGUUUCUGAUAAAAACGAAAGGUAAAAGUUCAACAGGGCGCUAGGAAACGACGAAGUAACAGUGCCAAAACAGCCACCACUCGGUCAUUCCCCUGACUCGUUCAGACAGAGUUCAGAAUCAGUAAAGCCCAUCAUGUUCCAACACGCAAAACCCACAAAGAAGGAGAGAUUGAGAAACAGAAACAGCGGGUGACCAAAGAAGAAAAAUGGAAACAGAACAGAGGGAGCAGAUAGAGAACAGUCCUCAAAAGCGGGGAAAGGGAAGUGAAAGAGGGGGAUUGAACCGGGGUGGACGAGGUCUUGUGAUCACGAUAACCAAGAGAAUGAAGCUCGAGGCGACGCCCCUGAAAGCUUUUUUUCUGCAAAACCCAAGAGAGAAAAUGAAAGGGGAUAUGCAGUUGCAGGGAGAGCGUGAAGGAUGGUGAAGAAACCACGCGCAGGGGAGUGGAAUGGAAAUAUGGUGAGAAAUGAGAUGACGAUACGACAAAUCGGAUAAUAUUAUUAUAUUUUUAUUUUGUUUUUAGUUUGUAAUUUUGUAUUUCUUUAAUUUGUAUAUUUUUUUUAAAUAACUUAGAGACUUCCACUUCCAAUUCCUUUUUUUUCAUUUACAAACUUUGCGUCCUUUUAUUUUAUUUGGUUCUUCAACUUUUUAAUUCCACAUUUAGUUUCAAUCUAUUUAAAUUUUAUUCAAUACAUCAAUCAAUUGUUUAAAAGUUUUGAGUUUGUUUUAUACUUAUUUAACAUGAAUUUGAAAGUCUAAGAAUUGGUAGACAAUUUUAAAAUAUAAAAGAUUAAAUUUUUAAAAAAAUUAUUUCAUAUUUUUAAUCAUCAAAAUUCAAAUUUUAAAUUCUAAUUGAAACAGAAACUAUUUGGAGUUACCAUAGUCUAAAAUAAACUAUUAUUAUUUUAUUUAUGAACAUGUUUUAGAGUUUUUUUCUUUCUUUCAUAUACGGUGAAACAAGUUUAAAAAACUCGUCAAAUAACACAUACUUAUUUACUUUUGCAAAAGCAACUCACGGAAUACACUUAAUUUACAUGUAAUACAUCACUAAUACAUAUAUACUUGACGCACUCUAUACACUACUGGUAUCUACUUUCAUAAAUUUAACACUCGUUUAAUAUACACUUGAUACCCUUAUAAUAGGCACUUGAUGAACAAUUCAUGUACCAAUUAUUUGAAAAUAUAUUUACAACAAAAAUAUAAACACCAAAAACAUAUUAUUAUAACACAAACUAAAAUAAUCUACUACUAACACAAACUAUUAUAAUCCAACUCUAAUAAACUGAAAAAUGGUUGGAAAUAACAUUUAACAGUUUUGUCUCAUAAAACUAGCACCCUUUUUUAAAAAUCACUUAAACAUUCUUUCUGAUCUUGUAUUUUUCUAAAAUAUUAAAAAAUUUCAAUUUGUUUCGAUUAUUUUGGGAUUUUCAGUUUGUUUCGAUUAUUUUGGGAUUUUCAGUUCAUCUCAUAGACAUUAGAUUAGAUUCUAUAAUGUUCCAAAUCUUUGAAAUAUACGUCAAAUCUUAACUAAUUUUUUUUAAUCUUUUCAAAAGUUUUUAAUUUAACGGCAAUGGAGUAAAUACUAAAUUAAGAAAUGUGGCAUUUUUUUUUUUUUGUAAAAGAGUGGGUCUUUAUCAACUUUAAGGUAAAAAAGCGUGAAACACUUUUUCAAAGGGCGUUGAGAUAAAAAGUGAGUUAUUAUAGUUAUGGGUUAUUUUGGUGAAAUUAUAAUAAAUUCAAAUAUUUGGUAUUUCGAGUGUGUAUGAAGGUGUGUACAUAGUGUAUAUCAAGUGUCUAUUAGAUGAAUAUCAAAUAUAUAUCACAAGUGUAUCAGAGUUGGUAUCUCUCAAUGGUGUAUUAAAGUGUAUCAGAUGUAUGAAUAUGUAGAGAAAAAUUAAGUAUUUAUAGAUAAGUAAAAUUAAUUACGUGUUUAUGGUUGAUAUGUAAAUAGAUUGUAAUAUCUUUUAAAUAAAGUUUGAUAAUAUGGUGAUGAAUUCAUGUAACAUGUAGAUUAUUCUAACUUUGAAAUUGAUGGUAUUGAUGUAUUUCAUAUAGUUACUAUGAAUAUUAAAUCGUGUUUAUUUCUUGCACCCAUAACCAAUCCAAUAUUAAAACCAAUCAAAACAAACAUAUGUCAUUAUUAAUAACAUUAAUAUUUUAAGUUAUGUCAACUGCCAAUACAUUAUAUAUAAACUCAAUGUUAACGUGAAGAUAAUUAAGUUUGAAUCCUAUGAACUAAAAAAAUCAAUAUUGAAAAUAAUUCAAAAUUACAAUUUAGAAUAUAGUUCAAUAAAUAACGUGGCAAUUAUCAUUAAUUUCAAAAUCCAACUACUCAAAAUCUCUAUUUCUAUUGUUAAAUAUUGUUGAUGAAAUUGGAACUUAUAUGAAAUAACGCAAAAGGUUUUUUUUCAAUCAUAUCUAAUCUUUUAACUUAUAUUUAUUAGGAUUGAGAAAAGAACCAAACAAAAGUAUAAAUUUUAUCUCAUUCUCCCCAAGUUACACAUCCUAAUAUUAUAUGUUUAGCAUGGUUAUGUAAGCAAUUGUUUAGAUCAUAUCAAAGUGAUAUUUAAACAAUCUUGAUAUUCUGGAAGAGAAGCGGGAAGAAAGAAAAAGAAGAUAAAUAAAAAUAGGAGAAAGAAAAUCUAAAAGAGGAAUCGAAGAAAUCUAGAAGAGAAGAUCAAUAAAUUGUAAAAAAAAAAAAAAAAAGAGAAGUGACACAUUCGAAAUAUCAAUGACAAAUAUAAAAUUUAUAAAAAUAUUUUAACGGUGUCAUGAGCUUUUCACUAAAUAUUUUGAUGUUUUGUUAUAUGUAUGAAAAUUUGGCUAAAAUAGUGAUGUAAUAAUUUUUUUAAAAAGAAUUUAAUUAUUGUGAUUUGAUAAUAUGUAAUAAAUGGUGUCUUUGGUUUGAUAGAACUUUGAUGGAUAGUCUAUAUGGCAUGGAGUAUAGUCUUAUCUAAGGGUGUACAUCAGUGUUGGUUUCUGGAGAAAAGUGGCAUCAAAUAUUGAAAGAAAAUGGUGUGAAAUUCCAACGUCAAUACAUUUUUACUUUUAUUUAUUUUUUUCAACUAAAGUCAAGAUUAAUGAAAAAUUUUAAAUCACAUGAAACUUAACCUACUUAAAUCAAUCACAUAUGGGGUAAUUAAGAAAAGAACUAUCAUUAUCUACCCAAUUAUACUUGAAUUAUUAAAAUAAAUUGAGAUUUUGAAAUGAUGUAGCUAAUUGAAAAUUACAAACUUAAUUAGACAAUAGAUUUAGGGUUGGGUUGAUGAUAGUGGACUUCCUCUUAUACUUAAUUCUCUACAAAAAGAAGAAGAAAAACUUAUUAAAUCAGUCGUGGGUUUUUCAGUAUAAAAAUCAACAACUGAUUGGCUGUUGGCUGGAACCUAUGUUUGGGUGAGCAAGCUUAGGUGGGUUGAUUUGGAUCCAUCAGAUGAAUCUAUAAUUGAAAAGUAAAUUUAUGGUUGAAGUAAAUAAAAAUGAAAAAAAAAAAAAAAGUGAAACAGUUUUGAUCUUGGGAUGAUGAAGAUGUUAGAAAAUUGAGAAGUAAAAAGGGAAAGAAGAAGAAAGCUUAUAUUACGAAAAAGUAAAAUAAAGGAGAGAGAGAGAGAGAGUGCAUGGUUUAAUUGUCUUAUGCUAAUGCCGUCAAGUCUACGUCGGGGCUGCCACUGGGAGCGCCAUUUUCAAACCCUUUUUUAUAAAAUCAUUACUUUCUUUUCUCUAAACUACGCGCUGCGACUACCAGGCAUCUCUCCAACUCGCCCUUGUAAAGCCUUUUUUUUUUUUUUCUAACUUCUAAACAAUUAAUUCCCCCUCACAACGCUACCCUUUGUCGGUGCUUCCAAUUGGAUUUACUUUUUCUUUUAUAUGAUAAACGAAAUCCACUUUUAUUUCUCCAUUUCCCUUUUCUUCUUUUUCCUUCUAGUAAUCCGACAACAAGGGGACAUAAUUCAAUCUACACUUUGUUUUUUCUUUUUCUUUCUUUCUUUCUUUCUUUCUUUAUCUUUCGUCCUCUACAAAAUUUUAUUUCCCAUGAUUGUUUAUGAUUACAAACUAAUAUUUCAUUCUUGUUACAUUAUUAUGCCUCAACUGUCAUUUCACCUGCAUUUUCACAACUAUGAAAACUUUAGUUUUUGUUAGUCCAGGAGCGCAAGCGUGAGCAUCUAUGUGAAAAUGAGAAACAGUUUGGGAGCAGUGAAGUAUGGACAAAGAGCUCUAAUAGAAGCAUUGUUGUAUUGAGUUGAUUGAAUGUAGAUAAUUGUGCAAAUAAGUCACGCACAACCAAAAUGUUGAUUCUUGUUUUCAUAAUAUGGCUCAAAUGUCAUUUUGAUGGUAGGUUUUAUGUCUCAUUUGUAUACACUAUCAAGUAACGAUAUUUUUUUUAAUUUGAUCAAAUAUUAAAAGAGUAGUUAUCCCGUGUUGGAAAUGUUCAAGAAAAUGAGAGCUUCGUAAACUAUAAAAGAACAUUAAUCCCAAUUUGAAGCACUCAUGCAUACUAUACGAACUCUUUUGUUAUGUGAUUUAUGCUUUAAGAGAAUAUGUUUUUCGUAAUCAAGAGAGAUUUUUUUGUAGGAAUGUAAUAACUUUUCAAAUAAUACUUCUUUUUUUUUAAAUUCAUGGUUUUUUUUUUCUCUAAUGUCAAGUUUUCUAGACGUUCCAACUAGAUGACCACUAACCAAACGAUCAACUAGGUGUUAUGUUUUGAAAAUUUUCAUCUAGGCGACCAAGUUGCAGACAUUUCUGUUUUAGACAUCCAAAAUUCAAACGUCUAUUUGUUGUUUUACCGCAUUGUCAAGUUCUUGUAUCAAUAAGUUUAAGACGUUUCUUUUUGUUACGCAAUGGUAGGUUCAACUCAAGCCGUUUUUUUAUUCACCGUUCUCAAUUGUGCAUUUUGGUUCGAAGAAGCACACUUCAAGCAAUGAAAACAAAAGACGUUAUUUUUCUUAACUAUGAAGAAAGUCAUCACCACAUGUACCACUGAAAAACCAUAAGUUCCAAAAACCGAUCCAAUCGAGGAACAACUCAAGAAUUUGGACACAUGAAAGGAAAAUAAUUUUAUAUGUAAAAGUCUAAUAUUAAAUGGUUUGAUUGAUGACUUGUAAGACUAUUAUCGUACAAUAUCCACAAAGGCUGGUUCAAAGAAGAAUUAUGAGAUGCUUUAUGGAAGAAGUAUGACACUAAAAAGGCUGGUUCAAAGAAGUAAUCGGUCAAUCAAUACUUAAGAUACUAGAUGACAUAUGAAAGAUAUGUAGAAACACAAUCUCAUGAACGGCAAAAAAUUGUUCAUGAAAUAACUAGCGAAUGUCUGGUUCUAGAUGAAAAAAUCCAAGUUGUUAUUAUUGAAAAAUUACCUUCUACAUGGAAGAACUUUAAAAAUAUUUUAAGGCAUAAGACCAAGUAAUUCUCCUUGGAAAGUCUCAUAACGAGCCUGAGGAAUGAAGAGGAAGCUCAAAAAUAUAACCAAAAGGAGGAGGUGAAUGUCGUACCUAUGAGUGUGUCUUUAUAGGAUAUGCAAUAAAUAUUAAAGUCUUAGGUAUUAUGACCUAGUAAAUCAAAUGAUUGUAUAAUCAAAUGAACCUGACUUUUUUUAAGAUAGAUUUCUUUUUAAAUCAAGAAAUAGUGAGGGCUAGAGUUCUAGUAGUCUAUCUUUAGUUAGAACUAACUUCAAAUGAUAAAGUAGAUCCUCAGCCUAGAAGGAGCUAGCAAGAUAAUUCGAACCAUUAUAGACUUUGAAGAUGACUUAUCGAAACCUACAAUAUAGAAGAAGACCCUAAAGAUCUAACAAAAGCCCUAUCCUUCGUCGUGUCAAUAGUAUUGCAACAAUUGCAAACUUAGAACCGUUAUUAUAACAAAAAAGACGACAAAUAUGUUGUAAAUACAGUACCAUUAGAGCGUUUCUCACUACUUAUGUAGUUAUAGUGGAUCAUGUAUUAACUGAUCAAAACUUGACAGAUCCUUUGAUGAAAGGACUAGCUAGAGAAAAGGUUUUUAAAACCUCAGUAAGAAUGAAACUCAUGCAUAAAGAAAAAUGAAUCACUCGUGAGAAAAACCCAACUUGUAGACUGCAUAUCCCAAGAAACAAGUUCAAAAGAUAAUAACUGAUCAUAAGUGAUAUGGAGAGAAUCAUGUUAGAAAAAUCAGGAAUUCCAUUACCAUGAUCUAGAGUAAUAGCAUGAGAUAACCUGAAGCAAAUGAAAACCCAAGGAGUACCCAUGUCCUUAUUCGUUCAGAAGGGUGAGGUGAGGAAUAAAAUAAUAAUAUUAAUUUUAUUUUAAUUAAUCUUUUUAAAAGUUUUCUCGAGGCGUUGAGACCUUUGAAUGCAUUGAGAGGCGAAACGUUGAGACCAUUGAACAUGUUGAGGGGCAAGGCGUUCUAACUGUUAAAUGCGUCAAUCGUUGAAGUGUUAUGCUUUGAUAUGACCAUUGAAGCGUUACAUUUUGACAUGACUGUUGAGGUGCUCUAGAUCUUAGACGUUAAGGUUCUUAUGACCGUUGAGGUGUUAUGAAAUCACACACUAUAUAGAGUUAUCCUCUUAGUUCAUUUGAGAAUCGUUAGAAAACAAUUUUUCAUACAAAAUUCUCUCAAACUUUCUGUCUCAUUUUUGUUUUCGAACAAAAUUAUUCACAAGUGGUUGGUAUUUUGAUCGGUUUUGGUGUAGUUCCCAUUGAGUAUUAAGUCGUUUUAUCCUGGGCCAUGUGGCAAUAUCAAGAAGAGAAGUCCUUGAACACAUUGAGGGGUGAGGUAUUCUGACCACUAAACAUGUCGAUCGUUGAAGCGUUACGUUUGACAUGAUCGUUAAGGCGUUACAGGUUUCAGGCGUUAUGGAUCUUAUGAUUGUUGAGCUGUUAUGAAAUCACACAAUAUAUAGUUAUCUUCUUCAUUCAUUUGAGAAUCAUUUAGGAAACACAUUUUCUUACAAAAAUCUUUCAAAACUCCUCUCAUUUUCGUUUUCAAGAAAAAUCAUUCACGACUGUUUGAUAUUUCGAUCGAUUUGGGUGCAACACUAAUCGAGUAUUAAGUUGUUUUAUCCUGGGGUAAUGUGGCAAUAUCAAGAAUUGUCUUAAAGAGAGCGUGUUACAUCCCUCAGCCUUUGUCAAACAAGCUUUUGUUUUGCAGAUUUUAAUUGCACAAAUUAAUUAGGCGACCAUCUUCCAAAUGUUUUUCCAACCGACCUCUAACCAGAUAAUCAGUCCAGACGUUCUGUUUAGAUGACUUUCAUCUAAGUGACUGGUUUAUGUGAUCACACCAAAUGACCAAUAAAUUCAAGAUGUUUUUGUUUUAGGUAUUUGAAACACAAACGUCUAUUUGUUAUUUUUAUCGCAUAGUCAAUUUCUUGCAUCAAUAGUCACCAACCAAAUACAACAUAAGUUUGAAGAUCAAACUAGUGAUGAGAUAAAAUGAUCAAGUUUUAGAUUUUCUCUACUACAAGCACGUGCCAUACACAAAUUUAAUUUAAUCAAACUCUACGUUAUGAUCUAUUUAGAAUGACUUUCUAAUUAUUUAUAAACAAUUUUUUAAUUUAUAAAUACUUAAAAAGUUAAUUCAAGUACACCCUUAAAUUGAAUAAUACUAAAUGAUUCUCACAAUGAUUUAAGGAUUAAUCCAUAUGUAACACAUGAAUUGUGAGGUUAAUGAAUUUAUUAUAGUAAUGCGUACUAAUAUCUCAUUAAAUAAUAAAAAAUAUAAUUACUCAUUAACUUGGUACCAACUAAUAAAUUGACUAUUAUUAGAUUAAUUACAAUUGUUAUACUGCUAUUAUUUAAAAUUUUAAAUAAAUUAAAAUAUUUACAAAAUAUAUCAAAUUUUGAUAAUAUAUAUAACUUAAAAAAUAUUUUAAAAAACUUCUCUCUAGUUCUUUACAAUUUUGGCCAAGAACUUUGCUCUUCUACCUAAAAUUGAUACAGACCAUAAUUAAAAAGAAAUGAAAGAAACGAGUUUAAUCAUUCUUUUCUUUUCUUUUCUUUUCUUUUUAUGGAGCCAUAUUAUAUGUUGAAUCUUUUUUUAGUGUAAAACAAACCAACAGACCAUCAAAACCUGGUGACUCUCUCAUCACUUUCUUAUCAAAGAUGAGAGAAAUAAUACAAUCAUGAAAGAUAUCUUUAUUCCAAAAUGUAUGCUAAUGUUGCAAUAACAUGAAUAGUUUUGUUUUCCUAUAUAUGGAUGUGAGACAAAAGAAUGAUAUAUUAAUAAAGUUAGCAACAACAAAAAUAACGUCUUCCGUAGAAAUCUUCUUAUUAGCAAAAGAGCUCUCUUUUUUUUGUGGACCAAAUUUAGAACUUCCAAAGCAUCAAAAUCGACCAUAUUUCGAUUAGUUAGCAAUUAAUAUUUGAUUGCGAUCAUAUUACUAUUUAAUUGUCAAUUAUAUCUGUUUCUAUCUGAUUAUUGUUUGAUUGCUAUUUAAUGAUACUUAUUGUUUGUUUGAAUGUUAUUUGAUAUUGAUUGUAAUAUGAUUGCCAAUAAUGUCAAUUGUUAUCUCAUUAUGUCUAUACUACUAUAUGAUACUGAUUGUUAAUGCUAUCGAUUGCCAUUUAAUUGUAAUAUGAUUACCGAUUGCCAACGAUAUCAACCGUGUUAUAUAAUUGUUGUUUGAUUAUUAUCUAAAAUGAGUUGCCAAUCAUACUUGUUGUUAUUUAUUUACUAUCUAGUUAUAUGAUUGUUCAUAAUAUAUAUUGAUGGUUGUCUGACUAUCAUUUGAUGAUGAUGAUUAUUAAUGGUACUGAUUGUUGUAUAAUCAUUGCUACUUGAUAUUGAUUGUUAUUUGAUCAUCAACAAUACUCGCUGAAGUUUGAUUACUAUUUGAUAAUGAUCGUCAACUCAUUACUAGCUUAUUGUUAUCUUAUGUUGAUUGCUAAUGAUACUAAAUGAUGUCUAAUUGUUAGGUGAUAAUAAUUGUUAUUCGAUUGUGAAUGAUACCAAUUAAUGUAAUGGGAUUGUUAGUUAUCUAAAUAUUAUUCGAUAUUGAUAGUUAGUAAUAUCAAUUAGUAUUUGAUUUGUGGGUUGUUUGAUUACUAUUUGAUAUCGAUUCCUACCUCGUACUCACUUAUAUACUAAUUUCUAAUUAUUUUUUUAUGUUGAUUGUUAUAUCUGGUCACUAAUGAUAACCAUUGCUAUCAAAACUAAUUAAAUAAUAUAUAGUUUAAUCUAAAAAAAUAUUAGGCCCUUCUAAUUUGAUAUAAUAUCAAUUAAACACAAAUGAAAGAGGUGGACUUAAGUUUCAAGAUAAUAACUACACUACAAUAAAAGAAGAAUGAAGAAGUAAUCUUAUUGAGAGAGAAAGAAAAGGAAAGAGUAAUUUCACGACUAUUUAAACUUUCCUAAAAUUUAAUUAGUUGAGGAAAGAAAGAUAUGAGAAAAUUUUUGGGUACAAAUAAAAGAAAAUAAGAUUAAUGGUCUGUUUGAAUUAUAUUUUAUAAGUUAUUUUGAAAAAAAAACUAAAGUGUUUAAAAGCCGUUCAAAAUAGAUAUUCAAGUGUAUUUGAAACAAUUUUUAGGAAAAAAGUUUAAAUAAAUAUGAGUUCGUUGAAAAACAUUUUUUUCUUAAUUCAAUUUAAACCUACUUUUAGUGUUCUAUUUUUAUUGCGUUAUGGUACCUACCAUAGAACCUUCGACGCUUAAGUGAAGAACGCACCUUUGAUUGAUGACUAUGACUUCCUAAACACAAAAGUGAACUUAGAGUUCCUAAUCCAAACAAAGUUAUAGAAUGUUGAAUUAGGUCGGCCAUGGAGGUAGGCUAAGGCUAAGGCCAAGGCCAAAGCCGUGGCCCAUAGAAAGUGGGCACCUAUGAAGAGAAAAGAGUAAAGAGUGGCCUCUGACUUUGAGGUGGAGGAGGCGCCUUUGGGUUGCUGGUCAAAAUUUCCUCCCUUUAAUUUGAUGGUUUCCUCUUUCUUUGGUGUGUUUCUUAGGCCUCCCAUGCACCCAACCUAUUUUAGUUUUAGUGUUGAAGUAUGAUCUUCUUCUAAGCUAUUCAUGAUUUGAAUAUGAGCCCACAACAAAUAGGAAGAGUAUAUUUCAUAUUAUUACUAUAAUUACUUAACCUAAAGCAUUAUUUAUAACAUAACAACGUACGAACAAAGUGGAGAUUUCAGCGGCUCAUUGUUAAUUUUAAAAAAAUGACUACAGUUGAGAUCAUUAUAGUUACUAGAUAAUUAUUUAUACAAUUAACUGUUAAUUGUUGUUAAGUAAAUAUAUUGUCACGUGACACUUUGAUUUUUUUCUAUUUUUCUUAAUUUGUAUUUUUGUGAUAAAAAAGUGGAAGCAUACCUUAAUCAUUGCUUCUAGAUUAAUGAGCAAAGUUUUUUUUUUUUUUUUAAAUAAUUUUUAGAUGUUAAUUUUGUACUCUUUUACGAUAAACUUAAAAUUUUUAUUCCUUUUAGCGUGGUUUGAUAACCAUUAUUUUAGAAAAUUAAGAGCGUAUUUUUUUUUGUCAUUCUUGCAAAUAUUUAUUUAAAUUUCUAGUAUAAAAUUAUCGACACAAAUAGAUUAUUAGAUCUAAUUUGGUAAGGAUUUCAUUUUUUUUUAGUUUCAAACAUUUAUGAAAGUCAUUUUCCCAUAUUUCUCAAUUAGGAUUUUCACGUGUAUUCCUAGUCAAAUUCUAAAAACAAAAAUUGAGUUAAUUGAAACUGAAUAUAUAAUUGAAACAUUUUUAAAUAUAGCAAAAUGAAUCAGAAUAUUUACAAAUUAUAGUAAAAUUUGAGAUUUUUUCAAUGAUAUAAGUUGAAAGACUUCUCAAUGCCCAUUAAUGGAUUAAUAGAAGUUUAUCUAACCAUUAUUGAUAGAAUAUGAAAUUUUGUUAUAUUUUGUAAAUAUUUUCGUACUUUUAUCAUUUACAAUAGUUUUUUUAAAUAGUUUUUAUUUUUCUAAAUUUGUCUUAAUUUUUUAAAAUAGUGGCACAAAAUUGAUAGUAAAACAAUAUAAAAACAUAUAAGUGGAGGUUAUAUUUAUAGUCUUAAUUUAAAAAUAUUAAAAAAUUAUUUUAUGAAAUAUAAAUAAUUAAUUUUAAAAUAUUUUUAAAUGAGUAAUUGUUACUAAUAGCACAGAAAAUGAAACUAUAUAAAAAUUAAAAUUUUCAAAUGAAUUAUAGGAUGAAUUUUGGUGUAUUGUUAUAAAAUAUUUUUAAAUGAGUAAUGGUAUUUUUGGUCUAAAUUUAAAAAAACAUAAAACAAAAAUAACAAAAUGAUCUAUUCAUUUUGGAUUUUGAUAAUUUGGAACUGCUUUCUAGAGAACAGAAAGCGAUUAUAAAACUUUUUUAACCGUUUUUAUUAGGUAAAAACAGAAUUGAAUCAAAUAGGUUAAAAUCACUCUUAAAAACAAUAACUAAGGGUUAUUAUUAUAACAAACAAAAAUAUCGUUUUAAACCAUUUGAAUUAUAUAUCACAUAGAAAAAAAAAGGUCAAUUACUGUUCGUUAUAGUUAGGUUUGCCAUAAUCCUUUCUUCAAACACGUGGAAUGACUCCACUCUAUUAUAGUUCGAGAGUCAAAUGUCCCUUAGUAUUUUUUUAAUAUAGUUCUUUGUAUAUAUUUAUAAAAAGAAAAAUUGAGAGACGUGAUAUUAUUAAUAAACCCGUUUGAUUGAAACAAGUUGAAAGGUUAAUGAUAUGAAAGAAAAGAAUAGAAACUAAAAUAGUAAGAAUAUUAUUGGAAAAAAAAGAGUGUGGGUCAUUCCAAGGAUAUCUUCCAAAAGGUAUAGUGUGUGAUCAUUAAAUAAUUUUCCAAAAUUUUCAAUUACCUUCCACUCUUUCAUUCAAAUAUUCUAAACAUUUCAAUGACAAGAAGAAGUGGUUGAGUUGUAUCAAAAUAAAAGGAAAAUGGUCCACACACAAUACCCACUCCAAUUUUUAUUUUGAACCAUUUUCUCAAAUACACACAUUACAUACAUCAAAUAUAUAGCAAUAAUCACCUCAACAGUCCCUUUCCAAACACAUUAUAUAUAUAUGAAUCAUUAAAUCAUAAAUGAACAUAAGAAAAAAAAAAUGGUCCAAACACACCCAUUUCACCCUUUGGAGUCUCUUUCUAAUUUCCUUUUCCAUGCAUCUAAAAAAACAAUAAAUAUAUGGUACCAAAAACGCUCAACAUUACAUUCAUUAUUUCAUUACCCUAAAACAUUAGGCUAAAUUAACUUUCUUGUUUAUAUAUAUAUAUAUAUAUAAAGUCAUUAGAUUCUAUUGUGGAGAUGAAGACAAAAAGGGACCUUAUUAUAAAGUAGUUGAAAUGUAUCGAUCAUUUAGUUAAGUGUGCAUAUGUUAGUUUAAUUAUAUUGUUUUAGAUACAAUUCAAUGGAUAUUUAUUAGAGCUUCAGUAGCAUUUCUCACUUAUAAUUAUAUUAUUUGGAACCAUAUAAGUGAAUAAUAAUGUGUUUAAUUACAUUUCUUAAUGGUGUUAGUGGUCCCAAAUAGUUUAGUGUAUUUGUUCGUUUUCGUCUUUAAUAAUAUCAUAUCAUAUAUAUCUCUCAAGCCUCACAAAGGUGCUCCUAUUAACUAUACGACUCAAAUUCUUCUAUUAACAACUAUAGAUAUGGAGGUUGCGUGUUUAAACUUUCUAAUAAGCUAGGUAUUCCAUUUGAAUGCUAAUUUACACAAAGUGAUUAAAUGACAAUAUUGUUAAAAAUAUUUACGAAUACAGUAACGUAGCACGAUUUAUAAACAUAUAUCUAUGUGUGAUAUUUUGUUAUAUUUAUAAAUAUUUUGGUUCAUUUGGUAAAAGUUGAAAGCUAAGGAUACGAAUGGAAAAGGCAUCUCCAUCUCCAUCUCCGAUCUCCAUGCGUGCCCCAACCCUACUGGUCAAUCUCUAAACGUAUGGGGUCGGAUGCUCUUUCUUCAAUAUUAUUAUUAUUAUUAUUUAUCUAAAAAAACAUCUCUAUAAAAGUUGUACAGAAAUAUUAAUUACAUAAAUUGAUUUUAAAGAAAGCUACUUGUUUGUUUAAGCUUUGAUUGGAUUUUGUAUUUUUCUUUAAUCAUAACUUCUAAAAUUUGCAAAGUUUUGUACUUCUCAUUCUAACCUUUGGAUAAUGUGUGUGCGCUUUUUUAAUGUCAACUUUUACAAAUUCCAUACAAAAAUUUGAUUCUUUUGAUAAUUUCAUCUUUACAAAGUAUUCUUAUUCCCAAAAAACAAAAAAGAAAAAAAAGUAUCUUUUCCAAUUUGCCCUUUUUUCUCAUUAAUAUUAGAUGGUAGGAAGCAAAGACCCACAUCUCUACCGAGGCUCAAGCCCAAGUAUCUAAGACUCUGCUUGGGCAUGGAUCAAUUGACUAACCCUUCAAUUGAAAACCUAUGAUUCGAUCUUUGGGCUUACUCAUUAUUAGAUCAAAGUUUGGCCCAAAUUGGCAUUCACCUUGGACCUAUCUAUUGAAUAUAUACUAUAUAUAUUUAUAAAUUUAUUUUCUAUUUUAAUACAAAAUUUAGGUUAAAUUAUUGGUUUUAUAUAGUAUUUUAUUUUCUUAAAAAUAUUAAAACUUUACCCUUUUAUAUGUAAAGUAUUGGGAAGAUGUACAUUUGGGUUGAUACAAACACAAUGAUGCAACACAUUCGUGUAGGUUAUAUACAAAUGAAGGUGUCCUAUGUAAUGAGUUUGCAUAAGAUUGGACCAUAAAACAGUGACCAUUAGGUUUAACUCUGUUAACUAGUUAGGUUUUUAUUUCAUUAUGAUGACUUGGGUAACUUAGUCCUAAUCCUUAGUGUAUUAUGAACUUCUGAUCUCGAUGGAUUGUCCUUUGAUUUAUACGGGUGAGGGAUUGUAGGAUUAAUUUAGAUUUUUUACAACGCAUUAGGAUUGUAUUGAGAGGCUAUUUAAGCCUUGUCUUUAGGUUGUUUAAGGAGUUUUUUAUAAUUUAAUGUUUGGGGUAUUUUCUAUUGAUAGAAAUUCUUUGACAGAUGACAAAGCCUCAUCACUACCUUUUGCAAUUCUUGAUUCAGGGUUGCAUGACAAAAACAUUAAGGUAAGUUUGAUUACCUUGCUUGUGGAAUGUUCAAACUUGGAGUGAGGACCUAUUUUUUUUUUUUUUUUUUCAUAUUUUGGUCUUCGAUCAAAGGGUAAUCCAAAUCUAAUCCAUUAUAGGUAAUUGAUUUCAUUAACCAUAUAAUUAAUUAAUAUUUGUUAGUUGUGUGUACACUUCACUAAAACCUUAUAGCUGAACUCUUCUCAUUGUAGAUAUAUUUAUGUGUUCAUGGAUAUAGAUUAAUAACAGUAAGUUAGUCAUUCACAAGUGUUUGUAACAUCAAAUUGUUCAAAUUAUCAUUUUACCAAUGUGUUACUUUUAAUCCUUAAACACUAGUGCUUCUCUAAUGCACAACUUGUUUAUGGCCCAACCACUAAACAGAAACCCCUAUCGUGCCAUAGAGAGGGUAGAACAAUUUGUUCAAGUCCCAGAGACACCAUUUAAGGAAACACACAUCUAUUUACCCUAAAGUUUGGAAGGAGUGAAUUUCAUCUUGUGUUAUUAUGUUCUCAACUUCCUACUCGAUCUUGUCCCCAAAAUGAUAAGCAGAUUGAGUAGGCAAUCUGUCUAUUCUCACUCGUACAAAUCAAAGGACAAUUCCUCAUGAACAAAAGUUCAUAAUACACUUAGGAUUAAGACUAAGUUACCUAGGUCAUCCUAAUUAGCUAAUGGAGUUACAUCUAGUUGUUACUAUUUCAUGGUCUAGUCUUAUGCAAACUCAGUGGAUAUGAUACUCUCACUCGCAUGUCACCUACACGAACGCGUUGGAUCAUUGCGCUUGAAUCAAAUACAAAUUGAGUCAGUGUUACCAAGAUAAGGUACUUAACCUUAUCCCUAUACUAUAAACCCUUUCAGCUCUAUCUCAAACAUUGAUCCUUGUAUGUCUCUACAUAUUGUUCAAGACUCAUAAAACUACUUAGAAUGCUAGUUUAUUGGAUUUAGGUUAUUUAGACAACUAAUAAUAUAAUCAAUAACACUUAAUGAAAUUAUAAUAAUAACACUUUAUUAAUAAUAGUCAAUGAAUUACAUUUACUAUCUAUGAGUUUUAAGACAUAUAAAACCCAACAAUAUCAACACCCAACUCAACAAUGGAAAGAGAGAAAUAGACACUACCUACGAAAAACUUCCUUAUAAAUUAAUUUUUCAAAGUGAUUGAUCAUUAUUAUGUAGGCAAUUUUUACCAUUUUUAGGUCGGAGAAUAUAUAAAUGUAUAAAUUAAAUUUUGAAAUAGGGAGUAUGCAUGUACUCAUGAAUUAGAAUAUAUGUAAUUAUUCGUUUUAAAUGCAAUAAAAUAAACUAAAAUAUUUAUGAAUAUAUCAAAGUGUGGAUGUCUAUAAAUGAUAAGCAAUGAUGAACACAGAUAGAUGAAGAAUGACAUUUUGUUAAAAAAAUUGUCCAAUAUAUUGAAUUAUUAAGACAUCGUUUUGUAACCAUUUUGUUUUUUGUUUUUUACUUUUUGAAAAUAAAGCUUAUUUCCUUUUACGAUAAAAAGAUAAUAAUUGAAAUUCACCCUAAAUUUAUAAAGUAAAAAUAAAAUUUUAAAAUCUAUUUUUUUAGUUAAUUUUUAUUUUUAAAAAGUAGAAAACAAGAAAAGAAAUUUAGAGGGAAAAUGAGUUUUAAUUUUUUGUAAGAUGCUUAAGAAAAAGAACAAAAAUAGGUAAGAUGCUUAACAUUUUCAAAAUUUAAAUUUUAAAAGGAAGGGAAGUGAACACACCACUGCUACUUGGUUAGGAUGGAUAUCAUUUUCGCAAACAGAGUAGAACUGCAUUUGUUUUAAGGUAACAUUUACAUUAAUUUCUUUCAAUUCAACCUACUUUCUUUUGCUUUGAAUCUUUGCAAAUUUUAUGCUACUCCAGCAUACGGCUCCUAAUCAAUCACACGCACGGGCUUUAUUUUAAUCGAUUGUCAUAAUGGGAAGGAAAACAAGUGCACAAUCAUGUUUAGAAGUUGAAUUUUGAUUCACUUGAUGUUUGAUUAAUGUUCUGUGUUGGAUUUGAUGACAGGCAGUGAUUAUAUAUUCAAAUAUGCUAGGCAGAAAGAAGUUUAUUUCUUAGAAUUCAAUGGUUGUUUUGUUUGGCAUCAAUGGCCAUAAUAACUGUUUGAUGAAAUGCCAAACAAAGAUUUGGUUGGAAUACAUAAAAGUGGAGUUGUGGUGGAUGAGGUCGUAGUAGGUAGUGCUUGAUAUGAAAUGCUUGUACAACUCUACUAAUUGUUAAUGUGGGGAAACUGAUUCAUAAUUUGGCUUCAAAAGUCGUAAUUGAUUCUUGUCUUAACCUUUAUUUCUUUCUUCAUCUGUCUUAAAGAAUAAGGAGAUAUAAUUAUAUGGAGGAGGGGUGAGUAUUUGAUGAAGCUCACUUUCUAUACCAAAUAUCUUGGAGCUCUAUGAUCUUUAGGUAAUUAAGACGUGACUCGGUUGAAAAUACCAAAGCCUUGUUUAGUUCCAUGCCUUGAAAAUUUAUUGUUUUCUGGACGAGGUUAUGCUUGAACCUACUCAUUCUUUCGAGACUUAACACUUUUUCCAAGAGAUACGUAUAAAAUGGCCUAAAGCCGGCCGGAUGAGACCAUAUUACCUAUUAGUAAGUGUAGUAUCUUUUUGUGCUUGGUUGGCUACUCUUGAGUAGGGGAAAUUUAUUGAUUCUUAUAUAAGAAGAAUUUUCUAACUCAGUCAUUCUAGGUAUGUACAAUCCUCAUAUAGGCAUGUUAGAUAAAGCGUGGAUGGGUUGAAAGUUGCCAAUAUGUUAUCAUGACAUAGUUUAGAGGGGAGAGGGGUUACAUGGAAUUCUGUAAUUCUUGGAUUGACCAUAUAGGGGUUGGUAAAAAGCUACAUUUUCUCAUACUAAACGAUGUCAUCAAACAUACCUAAUAAUAUAACAUUUGUGGAGUAGUUGGCUUGUCUAUGUGAUUUAUGAUCAAGAGAUAAAAUCAUAUUACCUAUUAAUACGAAUGCAUGAUUGAUCUUCUAGGUGUGUUGCAGCGUAUGUGGGUACUUGUGGCAAUUAGAAAAUUAUGAUAGUGAAAUUGAAAGAACGCUGGGAAGAAGCUGAUUGAGCUUCAACCUAACCAUGAAUAGGAGGGGAAAGCUCUUUGUUUAGACAUAUUGAAAAGCUAGUUAUUAUUGCAUUUGGGGUUAUUAUUUUUAGUCCACAACCAACAAUCAGAAUUCAGAACAAUGAAAACACCCUAUGAACAUGCAAUGACUGACACACAAAGCAAAAUUUAUCUCUUGUGCUGUUUGCCAUCAAAUUGUGUUGAGUGAUCAACAUUGUUGUCAUUGUCGUCACUUAGCUAACAUGACAACUGAAUAACUUAGUUCUUAGUGUUUAUUAUGGCAGUAGAGCACUUUAGAGAGAAUCAAGAGUUUGCUACAUACCUAGCCCAUGACUGGACACUAAAGCCAAUAACGAAUUGCCUCAAACUCCGUGGAUGGUUUUGCAGAUGAAAGCUGCUGGAUUUUCCAAAUCACAGCCUAUUGAUUUGAGUCAUUGUGUCUGGCAUAAUGAGGAAUAUGAAUUCAGGAUCAGCAGAUGCCAGUAGCCACCUUCAGGAAAGCCUUUGCCUCACUUAUAGUGAACACGAGAGACUGUAGAAACUGAAACAACGAGAAGUAUCGAUCAGGAAAACAACAUCUUAAUCUAGAGCGAACAUUAAUUAGUUCUGUUACAAAAAUUUUGUUAUUAGGUUAUCCAAACACUCUACAUGUUUCUAUUGCUUUAACAAGAUGCAUGACACAGUUUCCUUCCAUUAUAAUUUAAUUUAGACCUUUUGAUUUAAAUUUAGUGUAGCAUGCACUAUCCAUUGUUAUAGUUUUUUUGAGAUCAGAUUCUUAAUAAAAUUAAAUAAUUUAUCUUAAUUCUCUUUUCUUGGGGUUUAGAAUAAAAGAUGACAUGUCUUUUCUUUCAAGAUUUCACAAACACACUUUUGAGCUUGAAAGAUCUACGUAUGCUUUCUUUGUCAAGUUCAUUUUUAGUAUUUUCUUGUGCUAAAGUUUAUUCUAUUUUUUGACAUUGGAGUUCGGGUUCAAAUAAUAACAAUUAAUUGGACCUUGAAAGUUUUGGAUGCACAAAGGAAAUGUGUAAGAACCGAUUUGUGUUCAACGUGAUCUCACUAUAUGUACCUAUAUGUACUACUAAAAAACCUUAAACAUUACCUAGCAUCAAGAAUGAUUUUUAUUUUAUUUUAUUUUUAUUUUUUUAGUGUGAAUUUUUUUUUUGGAACAUAGUUUCAAGUGUUCUAAUUGUGCAAUACUUGAUAUCUCUUAUGAACAUGAAUACAUCUUUAGAUAGAUGAAUUGGUUGACCAAUGCAUAUCUUCUUACAGUUUACUGAACAACUAAUAAUUGAAAACAAAGGAAAACUGAAGGAAUUUAGGAUAUUUGAAGUGGUUUAAAAUAUUCUAUGCUGAUCUAUUUGAUAGGAAUGUUGUUAAAAGGUAAAUAAGUAACUAACGAGGUAUCAAAAUCUGUAUAAUAGAGACUCUGUUAGAUAGAAAACUAAAACUUGCUUUUCAUUAUGCAAAGUCAAUACAUUUACUGAUAGAAGAAGAGAGAGAGCGAGAAAACUCUCAUGAAGAAACUACGUAAUGAAUUAAUUAGUAAUCAAAAUCAAAAUCAAAGUCUGGAAUGGGAUUGUUCUGAACCAGAGUUUCCAGAAACUUGUCCUCAAGCAGAGAUUGGAAACCCUCGACGUUGUAUUCUUCAAACUCAUCUGGCUCAUUAAAAAGGUCUGAAACGUUAAAUUGAGUGGUUUCCUCAUCCUCUGUUUGGGAAGGAGGUGUAUCCAUGCCAAUUGCUUGGUCAAUCAAGUGAUCAUAAUCGGCCUCCAUGAACUCAAUCAUGUCGUUUGCAACUCUAAUCUUGGAAUCCAAAGCAUCCAACAACUCCAUCAAUUGAUGUUCGGAUUGGUGAUCCACAACAUUGUGGAGAAGUUUAGAUGUGUUAGUUAGGAUUUUGUUCUUGCGAUCAGAGAAGAAGCGGUUAAGAUCAUAAGAGGAGUUGGGUUUGGUGAAAGAGUGGGAUUUAUAAGAACGGAUCAUCUGGUGGAUUUGGUGAUGAUUGGGAGGCCAAGUUUCGAAGUGAGUGGAGGGGUCACAGUCAGAAGCAAUGAAAAGGCAAGUUUGAACAUCGCAAAGGGUGGAAAGCUCGUAGGCCUUCUUAAUCAGACUUUUCUUCCUCUUAAGAAAGGUUGUUCUUCGACUUUUGGGAUUGGGAAUGAGCUUAAGACUUAAUAUUCCUCUCCCCAUCGCUCUUCUCAACAAUGCAAAACGAAGGAAACUCCAAUGGCUUAGCAAGUUUUGAGCAAUUGUAGAGGGAAUGAGAAGAACAGAGAAAACAGGAGUGAUCUGACUUCUUUAUGGUUUUGGAACUUUACCGUUGUUCAUGCCCCGAUCUUCCUUUUAUUUUUCAAAAUUCCCAGUCAACUCCUUAUGAGCUUUAAAAUGCUGCCGAAACACUCUUACCAUUUAACGGCGAGCCGGUCAUCUUCCUGUGAUCUUUAAAAUUCUGCUGUUAAUAUUCUUACCGUUUAACGCCGAACCGGUCAUCUUCUUGUUCCCUAUAUCAUUCUGCCGUCAAUAAUGUUACCGUUGGACGGCGAGCCGGUCAUCUUCUUAUUACGCCGGUAGUGUUCCAAUUAAGCGCACCGUUCUUUACUGUUCCCAGCCUGUCAUCUUCUUCAAUGAUUUUAGGGUAAAUUAAAAAAGAAAAAAAAAAAAAGAAAAACACUUGAACUAUUAAAAAGCUUCAUAAAUACCAUUGAGGCUUAAAAAGAAAUUAAAAGAUAUUCUCAAUCAUCCAAUUUACAUCCAUGUUUUCACUGACUAAAAUUUUAACUUAAAAUCAGUUAUUUUGUAAUUAACAUCAAGAUUAAUUAUGGUUUUAGAUUGUUAUUUUGCAAUUUCGUGAGGUUUUGAUGAAUUUUAUGUUUUAAGGAAGGUUUAUAAUAUCAAUAUUAGUCUUAGUUUUAUAGAAAUUUUGAUUUGAAUAGAUGUUUAUGAAAAGUUAUAAAAAUGAAAAUUCAAAAUAUAAAUUUAAUUAGUAAAUAAAUAUUUUAUUACUUUUAAAUGAGUAAACAUGCUUAUUAUUUAUAUUAGUGGCUUUUUCUACCAUGUAAUGAAAGUAUUGAUUCACCUCUCCAAUUAAUAUCAAACUCAUUAAAAACAUGAAAAUAAGAGUUCGCAAAAUUGGGAAUUAGAGUUAAAUAAUCCUACAAAUUUCUCUACUUCAUCUUUUCAUAACCCUACAAAUUUUUUCCUACUUCAUCUUAUUAUAAUACUACACUAAUGACUUUUCCCCUAAACACAUGUUAUAAUAGCACUACAAUCAUAACUCUUCACACAAAUGCAUAUUAUCAUAAUACUACAACAAUAAUUCUUCCACCAAACACAUAUUACCAUAAUACUACCAAUAAUAAUCAUAAAUAACACUAAGGUUAUUAUAAUCAUAAGAUUAUCAUAAUCAUUUUUUCUCCAAACUCUUUCCCUACCUCAAAUGCACCCUUAGUUUUUAUUUUUGGGUUAAGAAAUUUGGUGUAAAACUGGAUUAAUUAAAGUAUUAAUUAAUUCUUUUUAAAAAAAUUUAAGAGUACUUACGAAACUUUUUAAUAGUUUAGAGGUAUUUUUGAAACUAAACUUUGACGGUUUCUAUCCAAAAUUAUUAGUAAAGAUAUUUUUUUAUAACAAUUUUCAAAAGUUUUUAAAAAAAGUAGAGACUUUUAUAAUUUAGCCAUGAUUUUAUUUGCACGAAUGGUCUUCUUUUGACCCUUUUCUUCAAUUUCAUUUUUAGAAUUAUUUAAACAAACUAUUUACAUUUAAGAAAAAGAUCACUAAACAAACAAAAUUCAUACUUGAGGUAUUUUGUUAAAUUUUCUAUUUUUUUUUUAUAAUUUCUGUUGUGUAAGGUUUUUUUUCUUUUCUUUUCUCUUUUCCAAUUUUCCUCUAACAAAUUGAAAUGAUGUCUAUGUAAAUUAAUAUUUAUGUUAGUUAUAUUAUUAAAAUGUUAAAUUACGAGUUUAAUGGUUGAAAUGAUCCUAUUUCAAUUGAAACCAACCAACUUGAAUUUUUUAAAAUUGAAAAUAAAAAAUGGUCCAAUUAGGAAUAGGUAUAAGUGAGAUGAAAAAGAAAAGAUAUAUUUUCUGUUGAGUCUAAUUUUUAGUUGGUUAUAAGUUUUGAAAGGUUACAUUUUAGUCUCAAUCUAGUUUAGGUUUAAUUUGAUCACUAAGUUUCAAAACUUACCUCUUUAAAUUUAAUUUGUUAUCUAAGACUUAAUUUAAUCUUAAGUUUCAAAAUGUUGCAUUUUUUUUACUACUCACAUUUUUUCUUUGGUAAUAACCUCGGGGUCAAUAAAUUUUGACCAAUUAAAUUAUGCCACAUCAUCACAACAAAUAUUAUGAUAAUUAUAUUUUUGAUUGAGUUUGUAUAAUUAAGUUUACUCAACCCAACCCAAUUCAAUUUUAACAAACAGAUUAGUCCAAGCCCAACAAGCAUAUGGGUCAAGCCCAACAAGAAAAUGGGUCCAUGUCCAAGCCCAAUAAGGGAAAUGGGUCCAAGUCCAAGUCUAAGCUCAACAAGCGGAUGUGCCUAAGUUAAGUCCAACAAACAGAUGGACUCAAACCCAAUAGACAAAUGGGUCCAAGCCCAAGCCCAUCAAGCAAGUGGGUCCAAGUCCACCUAAAGCCCAUGAAAAUUCUCUAUAGAGACAUGCUCAAUAUUGGGUUGAAGAAAGAAUAGAAGCUCUGAAGUACUGAAGCUAUGAAGAAUUGAAGAUUCAAACUCAAAUGUCUUUAUUCAUUACGUAUACACCACAUAAUAGUUAACUCUCCAAUAAAAAUAAGCUUAAUAGUUUGCUCACAUACAAACAUCACAAUCAUUAAUCAACAAACUUUCUUUUCAAAUAAAUAACAUCAACAUCAACAAUAAUAAGUACAACACCAGAUUUAGAAAGAAAAUUUUCAAAAUAUUUCUUUUAUUAAAAUCACUCACAGUCCUCGAAGUUCCCACUCUUAGCGUAAACCCUUCUUUCCUUCAACAACUUAAUACUUUAACUAAAUUCUUUGAGAAUCUCUAAAAGAUAUGAACAAUUUUAUGAACUUUACACUCCUAAUCUUCCCCUUUGAUAGAACUCUCUACAUUACCAUUUUGUGACACCUAAACUCAUAUUACUUAUUCUUCUUUCACCUCUUAAUUCUAUGUUUACACCUCUUACUUGUCAAAAUUUAAGUCUUUGCAUGCCUUUACACCUGAAAUCUAACUCAUUGAACACUUAACUUUUUAGUGAUUUCAGUUGUAAUGGGUCCUACAUCACCCCAAUUUCACUAAUUAAACCCUUUUUACCUUCAAUUUUUUCUUAUAUCAGUAAAGCAUCCAAAUAGUCCUGAGAUCCUUCAGAAUUUUCUUUUUACCUUCAAUCUCGACCGAAGUUGUGUCCAAGAUUGCCCGAGAUCCUUUUAAUUUCCUUUCUCUUCAUCUAAUCUCAACCAAACAAGCAUCAAGAUUGCUCGAGAUUACACUUCUUAAGCAUUUUGUUCUUCAUUUUGAUCGAACAAGCGCUAAGAUGGCCCCAAGAUCACGCUUUUGUUUUCAAUCUUGCCUGGGAUUCCACGUGACUGCCUGCGAUCCUUCCUUAAAACCCUUUUGUUUUUCAUCAUGGUCUGCUACUGCUUCGAGAUCAACCUUCUUUCUUCAAGAUCCUCUAAAAAACACUUAGCUCAUUACCAAAAUAACUCUUCUAUUAGGCACGAGUCUCAUAAAUGAAGUAUAUUAAGUGUAUCAA